CUGGAGACAGCUUUUCAAAGUCAUGUGACUAGACCAUGUGACUUCCACUUAAAACUCCUCAGUAGUCCCAGUAGCUUAGGAUAAAGACGCGAAUCUUCGACGGGCCUCCUGGGUCCACACAGCUGGCUUCUCCCAACUCAACCUCCCUCCACCACGUGGCUUUCUCUCUGCUGAGAUGGCCACGGCAUCUCCUUGACGAGAGGGACCCCCAGGGAGUGGACCUUCCUGACCCUUGCUGAUGGCCGCCUCCAGAGGAGGGAUGCAAAACCCAGCCUGGCUCCCCUGAGAACCGAGUUCUGCCAGACACCAACGCUCACGCCUUCCUUCCAUCGCCUGGUGAAGAAACUCUGGUUUUUAUCUUAGAGCAAUGGAGUCGGAACCGGGAUGUGGCUGCCCAGAAAGUCUCUGUGCCCCGCCCACCUUGUUGCUUCCAUUUUGAGGUCUGAAGACGUUUGGGAUGCCUGCUCCACACUCUCCUCCCCUGCCAUUUGGCUGCUACCCAGAGGAGAAUCCUGGACCAAGAGGAGUCAUUUCUCUUUACAUCACCCAGUGUGGAUUUGCUUCCUCCUGUGCACAAAGGGAGUUUGGCCCUUGGGAGAGGAGAUGAAGGGUGAUCCCAUCGCUACUAUUGAUCAGGCCUGACAUGUCUUGAAGGCAAACAUGCAGAACCUUCAUCCUUGUAAUGGGCCAAGGUGGAGGAUAUUUCCCCCACUUUGCAGAUGAGUAAACUGAGGCCUAGAGAGUUUAAGGGGUGUGCCUGGCCUUGAUGCCAGGAACUACUCUGCUUGUGAGUCUCAGAAGGAUAGGAUGCUUGUUGGAAGCAUAUGGUGCCCAGUCCAGCAUCUCUGACCACAGCUGGAACAAAGAGACGGAGCUUGCCAUUCCCAAAGGAUGGACCUCACCAGCCUGGCCAUGGCCUCCUCACAGCCUCUGCUCUCUCCUGCUAUGGUCCUGCCUCCAAGUGGUCCCAUCCAAGUGGUCUUCCCAGACUUAAAAUCUGACUGUGCUGCUGCCCUGCACAAAAUGCCUCCAUGCUCCCCACGGCCCACAAGAGAAAGUGCAGCUCCUUAGCCGGAUGUUCAGGCUCCUGCUGAGCUUUCUAGGGUUCCUCCUGUUCCCCUUCCUUGGGAUUUUGUGUUCCCAUCAGACUUGGUCAGACUUGGUGGAUCUUCCUCCUUCAC
RNAcentral lists this long non-coding RNA (1181 nucleotides) under Equus asinus (donkey). RNAcentral's name for it is "lncRNA (ENSEASG00005036676.1)". The record is from RNAcentral. Lineage: Eukaryota; Metazoa; Chordata; Mammalia; Perissodactyla; Equidae.